RNAcentral lists this long non-coding RNA (485 nucleotides) under Ananas comosus (pineapple). RNAcentral describes it as "long non-coding RNA (ACOM_LNC000206)". The record is from RNAcentral. Lineage: Eukaryota; Viridiplantae; Streptophyta; Magnoliopsida; Poales; Bromeliaceae.
AAAUCCAAAAUUUCAUAAUUACUUCCUUUAUUAUUAUUAUUAUUUUAUUAUUUUAUUAACUUAUUUUUUAUUAUUUAUUAUUUUAAUUAAUUAUUAUUUUAUUUGCUUUAAGUUAAUUUUUAUUUUCUUUUACUUUGAUUGAUCUUUCUUUAUCGCCGGGUGUUGAAAGAAGCUCCGUCAGCCUCCUUCACGAUCGUGUUCACAGGAAGGGAGAAUUUCUGCCGUAUUUUAUGACGGUGUUUUCGGUUAAUUCCGCAUGAAGGACGGAAAUACGCAUUAGUAACAGUGCCUCGUACACUUCCGGAUCAAUAAAAUUCUUUAUUUGAAUUUCAGCGUUUAUCUGUAAGUUGAUUAAUUUAUUGUUAUCACAAAAUUAGUUGUAUUUUAAUCACAAUCAAAUUUUUCGUUGCGGUUUUAUGCAACAGACACUACGUCAUCUAUGUGACUACUAUAUUUUAGACUACAUUUUUAUAAAGUGCGAAGUA